UCACAUUGCCUUCCCUCAGAAACUCUAUUUCGUUUUCACACCUAUCUAUCAGGGCUAUUGAUAGUAUAAAUACCCUCUAAGACUCAUUGUAAUUGAAGACUUAUGACAUUGACAAUACAAACCACUUUGUUCAGCUGUGUGCUAACAAAUUCAGAGAGAGAUCUCUACCCCUUUGCUCUUGUGUUUUCCUUCGCGGAGAUUACAGAAGCGGUCACGUCAUCGGCACCCAAUCCGUGCUCCUGAUCCUCGAGUUCAGGUUGCGUAGGUUGGUUCUUUGAGAGUGUGGUUGGGUGAAUCCUUGGUUCAGGCUGCCGUAUAGAGACGGUGGUUGGCUCCUUGUGCGUGUCGUCAGGUUGCACUAGUUAUCCUCGCUGCUUGCAGCAAGUUAUCGGCUGAUCUUCAGCUAGUUAUCCUACGACGUGAAGAUCGGGACAACGACCUCAUCAUCUGGUAUCAGAGCUCAAGUUUCCACGGAAGGAUUUUUACCCUUAGCUACAUAUAUAUAUCUUGUUCGUCCUAUCCACCAAAAAGCCAUAAAAAAUUGCAUUAGCCCUUUGUUUCAAUCUGUUUUCCUUGUGAGUUUGGUUAAGUUUCAGUCCAUUAGAGUUUUGUUUAGUUGUUGAUCAUCAUAUUCUUUGUGUGUCCUUUGUGCCUCUUUAUAUCUACAAAUCCCUAAAGAAAAUCUGAAACCGGUAUCAUCCUUCGCGUAAACUUGGAGCCUAUCAAGUUAGAACGCUGACGGUUGUGUCUUGUUUCAAAAAAAAAGUGUGUGCAAGUGUUAUAUCUGCUCUUGUUCUUAGUUAUAAAAAAACUAUCAAAAAAAGGAAAAUGAAAAAAAGGAGAGUUGAGGAAGAAAAGUUGUGAAGAAAGAGUAGAAAGUUCACUCUGUUUAUGUGCUCAAGUUCUGAAUUUUAUAUCAAGUCACACAAUUAGUCAUUAUCCAUCUUUGGUGCAAAAUUUUGCUUGGGUUUGAUUGCAACACUUGCAUCCUAGGCAUACUCCUUGUUUGCAUCAAAUCUGAAUUAUCUUUGCGCGUGUGUUUGAUCUAUUUACAUCACUCAUAUCUUGUGGUCAGCACUAGGCAUUGAACUUCUAGUUUGGAUUGUGGUUUAACUUUACAAUAUCAAGAAUUCAGAGUGCAUUCCUUGUGAAAUAUAUCCCCACCAAGCUCCACAAAUAACCCACUGUCAUAGGAAAAU
RNAcentral lists this long non-coding RNA (1199 nucleotides) under Sorghum bicolor (sorghum). Its description in RNAcentral is "long non-coding RNA (SBIC_LNC005142)". Lineage: Eukaryota; Viridiplantae; Streptophyta; Magnoliopsida; Poales; Poaceae. The record is from RNAcentral.